RNAcentral lists this ribosomal RNA (497 nucleotides) under uncultured bacterium. Its description in RNAcentral is "partial 16S ribosomal RNA". It matches the Rfam family "Bacterial small subunit ribosomal RNA", at positions 28 to 507 of the family's 1533-position model. The record is from RNAcentral.
GAUGAACGCUGGCGGCGUGCCUAAUACAUGCAAGUCGAGCGAACGGACGAGAAGCUUGCUUUUCUGAUGUUAGCGGCGGACGGGUGAGUAACACGUGGAUGACCUACCUAUAAGACUGGGAUAACUUCGGGAAACCGGAGCUAAUACCGGAUAAUAUUUUGAACCGCAUGGUUCAAAAGUGAAAGACGGUCUUGCUGUCACUUAUAGAUGGAUCCGCGCUGCAUUAGCUAGUUGGUAAGGUAACGGCUUACCAAGGCAACGAUGCAUAGCCGACCUGAGAGGGUGAUCGGCCAUACUGGAACUGAGACACGGACCAGACUCCUACGGGAGGCAGCAGUAGGGAAUCUUCCGCAAUGGGCGAAAGCCUGACGGAGCAACGCCGCGUGAGUGAUGAAGGUCUUCGGAUCGUAAAACUCUGUUAUUAGGGAAGAACAUAUGUGUAAGUAACUGUGCACAUCUUGACGGUACCUAAUCAGAAAGCCACGGCUAACUACGUG